GAUACCACACCGGCAGAACGGAUUACGUUGAUGACGUAAAAUAGUAUAUAAUAAUAUAAGGUAUUG
RNAcentral lists this transfer RNA (66 nucleotides) under Falcidens halanychi. RNAcentral describes it as "tRNA-Ile". Lineage: Eukaryota; Metazoa; Mollusca; Caudofoveata; Chaetodermatida; Chaetodermatidae. The record is from RNAcentral.